CCUACGGGUGGCAGCAGUGGGGAAUAUUGCGCAAUGGGCGAAAGCCUGACGCAGCGACGCCGCGUGAGGGAUGAAGGUCUUCGGAUCGUAAACCUCUGUCAGCAGGGAAGAACGGUCACUGUGCUAAUCAGCAGUGAAUUGACGGUACCUGCAAAGGAAGCACCGGCUCACUCCGGGCCCGCAGCCGCGGUAAUACGGGGGGUGCGAGCGUUAAUCGGAAUUACUGGGCGGAAAGCGCUCGUAGGCGGUAUGUCAAGGCAAGGGUGAAAUCCCCGCGCUCAACGUGGGAACUGCCUUUGAGACGGGCAAACUGGAGUGUGUGAGAGGAUAGUGGAAUUCCAGGUGUAGGAGUGAAAUCCGUAGAUAUCUGGAGGAACAUCAGUGGCGAAGGCGACUAUCUGGCACAUAACUGACGCUGAGGAGCGAAAGCGUGGGUAGCAAACAGGAUUAGAUACCCGAGUAGUC
Molecule: ribosomal RNA, 465 nt
Filed under: uncultured bacterium
Lineage: Bacteria
Description: partial 16S ribosomal RNA
Rfam family: Bacterial small subunit ribosomal RNA
Source: RNAcentral